UAACACAUGCAAGUCGAGCGGUAACAGAUCUAGCUUGCUAGAUGCUGACGAGCGGCGGACGGGUGAGUAACGCGUAGGAAUCUACCCAGUAGCGGGGGAUAAGCCAGAGAAAUUUGGUCUAAUACCGCAUACGCCCUUCGGGGGAAAGCAGGGGCUCUUCGGACCUUGCACUAUUGGAUGAGCCUGCGUGAGAUUAGCUAGUUGGUGAGGUAAUGGCUCACCAAGGCGACGAUCUCUAGCUGGUCUGAGAGGAUGAUCAGCCACACUGGGACUGAGACACGGCCCAGACUCCUACGGGAGGCAGCAGUGGGGAAUAUUGCACAAUGGGCGCAAGCCUGAUGCAGCCAUGCCGCGUGUGUGAAGAAGGCCUUAGGGUUGUAAAGCACUUUCAGUCGUGAGGAAAGGUGUGUGCUUAAUACGUACAUACUGUGACGUUAGCGACAGAAGAAGGACCGGCUAACUCCGUGCCAGCAGCCGCGGUAAUACGGAGGGUCCGAGCGUUAAUCGGAAUUACUGGGCGUAAAGCGCGCGUAGUGGAUUGGUCAGUCAGAUGUGAAAGCCCAGGGCUCAACCUUGGAACUGCAUCUGAUACUGCUAGUCUAGAAUACAGUAGAGGGUAGUGGAAUUUCCUGUGUAGCGGUGAAAUGCGUAGAUAUAGGAAGGAACACCAGUGGCGAAGGCGACUACCUGGACUGAUAUUGACACUGAGGUGCGAAAGCGUGGGGAGCAAACAGGAUUAGAUACCCUGGUAGUCCACGCCGUAAACGAUGUCUACUAGCCGUUGGAAGACUUGAUCUUUUAGUGGCGAAGCUAACGCGAUAAGUAGACCGCCUGGGGAGUACGGCCGCAAGGUUAAAACUCAAAUGAAUUGACGGGGGCCCGCACAAGCGGUGGAGCAUGUGGUUUAAUUCGACGCAACGCGAAGAACCUUACCAACUCUUGACAUCCAGAGAAGAGGCUAGAGAUAGCUUUGUGCCUUCGGGAACUCUGAGACAGGUGCUGCAUGGCUGUCGUCAGCUCGUGUUGUGAAAUGUUGGGUUAAGUCCCGUAACGAGCGCAACCCUUGUCCUUAUUUGCCAGCACGUAAUGGUGGGAACUCUAAGGAGACUGCCGGUGACAAACCGGAGGAAGGUGGGGACGACGUCAAGUCAUCAUGGCCCUUACGAGUUGGGCUACACACGUGCUACAAUGGCCGGUACAGAGGGCUGCAAACCUGCGAAGGUAAGCUAAUCUCACAAAACCGGUCGUAGUCCGGAUUGGAGUCUGCAACUCGACUCCAUGAAGUCGGAAUCGCUAGUAAUCGUGGAUCAGAAUGCCACGGUGAAUACGUUCCCGGGCCUUGUACACACCGCCCGUCACACCAUGGGAGUGGAUUGCACCAGAAGUAGCUAGCUUAACCUUCGGGAGGGCGGUUACCACGGUGUGGUUCAUGACUGGGGUG
This 1441-nucleotide ribosomal RNA is filed under the name uncultured Neptunomonas sp. RNAcentral's name for it is "bacterial SSU rRNA". It matches the Rfam family "Bacterial small subunit ribosomal RNA". Lineage: Bacteria; Pseudomonadati; Pseudomonadota; Gammaproteobacteria; Oceanospirillales; Oceanospirillaceae. The record is from RNAcentral.